UUUCUUGGUGACUAUGGUCCCAGCUGCCUUGAGAUCAUUGACAAGAUCCUCCCGUGUAGUUCUGGGCUGAUUCCUCACCGUUCUCAUGAUCACUGCAACUCCACGAGACAAGGCACUAAAUCCACACUCAAAGUUGGCAACUCUCCCUCUCCCCCGCACGCAUGCAACCUUGGCAACAUCCUGGAUUCCACCCUCUCCUUCAACCCCCACAUCCGACAGACUGUCAAAACCUAAUUCGUCCACCUCUGCAACAUCUCCAGAGUCAGGUCCUCCCCCUCCCGUUCUGGUGCUAAAACCCUAAUUCAUGUAUUCCAACUAGACUACUGUAACUCACUACUCUCUGGCAUCAACACAAGCUCCUUCCAUAAACUCCAAAUGGUUCAAAACUCUGCAGCCCGACUUCUCACCGACACCAACUCCUAGCAGCACAUCACCCCUGUCCUAUUACUUUUUUCAGAGAGUGUUAAAGUGGUUAAACCAUGCCCUAUAACUGAUUAGUAGGAAUUAUCAAUGAGUAGGGGCUAUGUCUAUCUGUUUGACUUAAUUAUUAUUCAAAGACACAUUUGUUGUGUGUAGGGGCAGUGGCACCAAACAUCCUCCUGGAGAUCCAUUCUCCGGUAGAUUCUGCCAAAAAUGUAUUGGUGAGAAGCUAAGUGUAAUUGUGUGUGUGCAAUACUGCAACUUUUCCACUUUUCCUCUUGGGAUGACAUUAUAAUAUCGUAGUUGUGUAUUGCAAUGUCAGUGUUCGAGAAAGCUGGUGAUGACAAUGCAAAUAAAGCCACUUAUUUUUUGUACUUAAUUCCAUCGAUGACUACUAUGUUGCUGCACUAUACUUCCU
This 838-nucleotide long non-coding RNA is filed under the name Salmo salar (Atlantic salmon). RNAcentral's name for it is "lncRNA (ENSSSAG00000090404.1, ENSSSAG00075063779.1)". Lineage: Eukaryota; Metazoa; Chordata; Actinopteri; Salmoniformes; Salmonidae. The record is from RNAcentral.